RNAcentral lists this non-coding RNA (952 nucleotides) under Takydromus sexlineatus (Asian grass lizard). Its description in RNAcentral is "partial small subunit ribosomal RNA". It matches the Rfam family "Bacterial small subunit ribosomal RNA". The record is from RNAcentral. Lineage: Eukaryota; Metazoa; Chordata; Lepidosauria; Squamata; Lacertidae.
ACAGUUUUGGUCCUGGGCUAACCGUUGUUUUUUAUUAAGUUUAUACAUGCAAGCUUCAACAUACCAGUGAAAAUGCCCACAACAUCUAUAAAGAGACAUGGAGCGGAUAUCAGGCACCACCUUGAGCCCACAACGUCUUGCUUUGCCACACCCUCACGGGAAGUCAGCAGUAAUAAAUAUUGAACCAUAAGUGAAAACUUGAUUCAACUAUGAUACUCUCUGGGCUGGUUAAUUUCGUGCCAGCCACCGCGGUUAUACGAAAAGCCCAAAACAACGAUUAACGGCGUAAAAUGUGACUAGAGAAUAUAUUUUAAUAAAAUGCUUAAAUCUAUAUACUUAGUUAUAAAAUACUUUAGAGAUAGAGAAAACCAAAACAAACAUUAUUAAUAAAAUAUCCUUGAACUCACGAAAGCUAAGAAACAAACUAGGAUUAGAUACCCUACUAUGCUUAGCAUUAAACACUGAGAUUAAAUUAUACACCACCCUCCGCCAGAGAAUUACAAAUGAAAAAUUUAAAACUCAAAGGACUUGACGGUGUCCCAUACCGACCUAGAGGAGCCUGUCCUAUAAUCGAUACCCCCCGCUCCACCCAACCUUAACUAGCAUUUACCAGCCUAUAUACCGCCGUCGACAGCCUACCCCAUGAGGGAUAAAUAGUAGACAAAAUAGCCUCACUAACACGUCAGGUCAAGGUGUAGCAAAUGUUAAGGAAGAGAUUGGCUACAUUUUUUAACCAUAAAAAAUUACGGAAAGUUUCAUGAAACAAAACAUGAAGGUGAAUUUAGUAGUAAAAUAAACUAGAAUAUUUAUUUUAACAACGCUCUGGGACGCGUACACACCGCCCGUCACCCUCUUCAACAAAAUAAAAUUAAACCUAAAUAAAUAAAGAUUUCACUAUAGAAGAGGCAAGUCGUAACAUGGUAAGCGUACCGGAAGGUGUGCUUGGAUUAAC